UUCUCACGGAUAAGUUCUGUGGACUCACCAAAUGCUUCACCUCCUCUCUUUGCAAAGGAUUGUGAUUCAGUUAGAAGAUUGGGAACGACACACGAUUUGGGGUUUUAGGUUUUGUUCAUGAUUGUGUUCUUGAUGUGCAAACACAAUUUCGCUUGAAUUGUCUUGGCCUUCUGGAGCUAUUCUGAACCUCAAAUCUCCGAAGAAACCAAAAAUCAUUCGUUCACCGAAACCGAAACCCUUGCUCACACCGUCUGGUUCUUCGAGACGAUCUUCUGGGUAUAUAUUUUCGGUUGGGUUAGUCGGCAUAUACACCCUUCUCUGGCAAUCGAACCGUUACAAAGAGGAGUGAAUAUGGAAGAACAAAUCGACGAAACUGAUGGUGACAGAUUCGCCGAUAACAAUCGCAACAUCAAAGUACGGUCGUCGGAAAAAAGGUGUUGACGGUGAUUGGAUUGUGAAAAGAGAUUUCGCCACCUUUUUUUUAAUUUGUUUGACGUGGAUGAAUAUCAAAAUCCUAACGUCUAAUUGUAAGUUAUUCUGCUCUGUUUUUGGAU
Molecule: long non-coding RNA, 554 nt
Filed under: Helianthus annuus (common sunflower)
Lineage: Eukaryota; Viridiplantae; Streptophyta; Magnoliopsida; Asterales; Asteraceae
Source: RNAcentral